AGAUUAUCGGGUUUUCUACACAUUGAUAUCGUAAAAUAUCAGCCGCGAGCCACAAUGUGAACCUUUUUGGCGAGUGAGCGUAGCGAACGAGCUAAAAAGUUUCACAUUGUGUCGAGCGGCUGAUAUUUUACGAUAUCUAUACGUAGAAAACCCGAUUAUCUGUUUAUCGUUCUAUUAAUGGUCUUUUUUCCUCUCCCUAAGACAGUUUUACGCUUGACGAAAGCAAGCUUGAUAACGUCUCCUCUCGCAUUGUGACGUCGCUGAUAACUUCUCCACUCACAUUGUGACGUCGCUGAUAAUGCCUGGUCUCGUUUUGAAGUCUUGAUACGAGAAUUACUGAGCGACAGAGCAGGGUGAUAUAGGCGUAGGGAAGGACGAUAAACU
This 384-nucleotide long non-coding RNA is filed under the name Mytilus galloprovincialis (Mediterranean mussel). The record is from RNAcentral. Lineage: Eukaryota; Metazoa; Mollusca; Bivalvia; Mytilida; Mytilidae.